This 24-nucleotide non-coding RNA is filed under the name Cricetulus griseus (Chinese hamster). The record is from RNAcentral. Lineage: Eukaryota; Metazoa; Chordata; Mammalia; Rodentia; Cricetidae.
UCAUCCAUUUGCCAAAGUAGCUGA